Molecule: ribosomal RNA, 305 nt
Filed under: uncultured bacterium
Lineage: Bacteria
Description: bacterial SSU rRNA
Rfam family: Bacterial small subunit ribosomal RNA
Source: RNAcentral
UACCUACGGGGCGCAGCAGUAGGGAAUUUUCGUCAAUGGGCGCAAGCCUGAACGAGCAAUGCCGCGUGAGUGAGGAAGGUCUUCGGAUCGUAAAGCUCUGUUGCGGGGGAAAAAGGACAGGAAGAGGAAAUGCUUUCUGUUUGAUGGUACCCCGCCAGAAAGUCACGGCUAACUACGUGCCAGCAGCCGCGGUAAUACGUAGGUGGCGAGCGUUAUCCGGAAUGAUUGGGCGUAAAGGGUGCGCAGGCGGUCCUGCAAGUCUGGAGUGAAACGCAUGAGCUCAACUCAUGCAUGGCUUUGGAAAC